RNAcentral lists this ribosomal RNA (465 nucleotides) under uncultured bacterium. RNAcentral describes it as "partial 16S ribosomal RNA". It matches the Rfam family "Bacterial small subunit ribosomal RNA", at positions 338 to 795 of the family's 1533-position model. The record is from RNAcentral.
CCUACGGGAGGCAGCAGUAGGGAAUCUUCCACAAUGGGCGAAAGCCUGAUGGAGCAACGCCGCGUGGGUGAAGAAGGUCUUCGGAUCGUAAAACCCUGUUGUUAGAGAAGAAAGUGCGUGAGAGUAACUGUUCACGUUUCGACGGUAUCUAACCAGAAAGCCACGGCUAACUACGUGCCAGCAGCCUCGGUAAUACGUAGGGGGCAAGCGUUAACCGGAUUUAUUGGGCGUAAAGGGAACGCAGGCGGUCUUUUCAGGCUGAUGUGAAAGUCUUCGGCUUAACCGGAGUAGUGCAUUGGAAACUGGGAGACUUGAGUGCGGAAGAGGAGAGUGGAACUCGAUGUGUAGCGGUGAAAUGCGUAGAUAUAUGGAAGAACACCAGUUGCGAAAGCGGCUCUCUGGUCUGUAACUGACGCUGAGGUUCGAAAGCGUGGGUAGCGAACAGGAUUAGAUACCCUUGUAGUC